This 254-nucleotide ribosomal RNA is filed under the name uncultured bacterium. RNAcentral describes it as "partial 16S ribosomal RNA". It matches the Rfam family "Bacterial small subunit ribosomal RNA", at positions 524 to 776 of the family's 1533-position model. The record is from RNAcentral.
CACGUAGGGACCAAGCGUUGUCCGGAUUCAUUGGGCGUAAAGAGCUCGUAGGCGGUUCGGUAAGUCGGGUGUGAAACCUCCAGGCUCAACCUGGAGACGCCACCCGAUACUGUCGUGACUAGAGUCCAGUAGGGGAGCGUGGAAUUCCUGGUGUAGCGGUGAAAUGCGCAGAUAUCAGGAGGAACACCAGCGGCGAAGGCGGCGCUCUGGGCUGGAACUGACGCUGAGGAGCGAAAGCGUGGGGAGCAAACAGG